UACGUAGGGGGCAAGCGUUGUCCGGAAUCAUUGGGCGUAAAGAGCUCGUAGGCGGUCUGUUGCGUCCGCUGUGAAAACUCGGGACUUAACCCCGAGCUUGCAGUGGAUACGGGCAGACUAGAGGUAGGUAGGGGAGAAUGGAAUUCCCGGUGUAGCGGUGAAAUGCGUAGAGACCUGGAAGAACACCAAAGGCGAAGGCAGCAUCCUGGGAAGUUCCUGACGCUCGGGUGCGAAAGCCAGGGGAGCGAACGGG
This 253-nucleotide ribosomal RNA is filed under the name uncultured bacterium. RNAcentral describes it as "partial 16S ribosomal RNA". It matches the Rfam family "Bacterial small subunit ribosomal RNA", at positions 524 to 776 of the family's 1533-position model. The record is from RNAcentral.